GAAAUGCGAUACGUAGUGUGAAUUGCAGAAUUCCGCGAAUCAUCGAGUCUUUGAACGCAAGUUGCGCCCGAGGCUUGACCAAGGGCAUCUCUGCCAGAGCGUCACCGCGACACCCACCAAACCUCAAUAAUGGGGUUUGAGUGAAAGUGGCCAUCCGAAUGGGGCCGCCCCUCCCUUGGGGGGCGCGGCAGAUUGGGUUGGCUGAAAUGGAGGGAAUUUGGCCGCCGUGGUAGUACAGCCCGCGAUCAGGUGAUCCAGGUGUUAAAAAACCUGGAACUCAAACGUGCGCUGGCUGUGGCACCCAGUUGGCCGGACUCCAAAGCAGGUCCCUACCGACACUCCGGCCGCAAAAGCCGGGAGGUGGAGGGAAGGAAAACGUCACGCAUCAGACCUCUGAUCA
This 400-nucleotide unclassified non-coding RNA is filed under the name uncultured fungus. RNAcentral describes it as "sequence contains ITS1". The stretch from base 1 to 104 matches the Rfam family "5.8S ribosomal RNA", at positions 50 to 154 of the family's 154-position model. Lineage: Eukaryota; Fungi. The record is from RNAcentral.